AUGACUGCUGGUUCCGCGAUACUGGGCCCACGUUUGUUGUAAGGAAAAGAAUGUCAAAUUCUGGUACAGCAGUGGAAUCUGUCGCAGGAAUUGAUUGGAACUUCAAUAGUUGGGGAGGUGUCGAGGAUGGUUGUUACGCCGAUUGGAGUCUUGAUCUUCUAGUUGCAAGGAAGAUCCUGGAUAUUGAGAGAGUUCCUAGGUUUUUGAACACAAUUGUUCUUGAAGGUGGAUCCAUCCAUGUAGAUGGAGAAGGGACUUGUCUUACCA
This 267-nucleotide unclassified non-coding RNA is filed under the name Hevea brasiliensis (rubber tree). Lineage: Eukaryota; Viridiplantae; Streptophyta; Magnoliopsida; Malpighiales; Euphorbiaceae. The record is from RNAcentral.